AACAGGGGGNAGCCUUAAUACAUGCAAGUCGAGCGAACUGAUUAGAAGCUUGCUUCUAUGACGUUAGCGGCGGACGGGUGAGUAACACGUGGGCAACCUGCCUGUAAGACUGGGAUAACUCCGGGAAACCGGAGCUAAUACCGGAUAACAUUUUCUCUUGCAUAAGAGAAAAUUGAAAGAUGGUUUCGGCUAUCACUUACAGAUGGGCCCGCGGUGCAUUAGCUAGUUGGUGAGGUAACGGCUCACCAAGGCAACGAUGCAUAGCCGACCUGAGAGGGUGAUCGGCCACACUGGGACUGAGACACGGCCCAGACUCCUACGGGAGGCAGCAGUAGGGAAUCUUCCGCAAUGGACGAAAGUCUGACGGAGCAACGCCGCGUGAGUGAUGAAGGCUUUCGGGUCGUAAAACUCUGUUGUUAGGGAAGAACAAGUACAAGAGUAACUGCUUGUACCUUGACGGUACCUAACCAGAAAGCCACGGCUAACUACGUGCCAGCAGCCGCGGUAAUACGUAGGUGGCAAGCGUUAUCCGGAAUUAUUGGGCGUAAAGCGCGCGCAGGCGGUUUCUUAAGUCUGAUGUGAAAGCCCACGGCUCAACCGUGGAGGGUCAUUGGAAACUGGGGAACUUGAGUGCAGAAGAGAAAAGCGGAAUUCCACGUGUAGCGGUGAAAUGCGUAGAGAUGUGGAGGAACACCAGUGGCGAAGGCGGCUUUUUGGUCUGUAACUGACGCUGAGGCGCGAAAGCGUGGGGAGCACACAGGAUUAGAUACCCUGGUAGUCCACGCCGUAAACGAUGAGUGCUAAGUGUUAGAGGGUUUCCGCCCUUUAGUGCUGCAGCUAACGCAUUAAGCACUCCGCCUGGGGAGUACGGUCGCAAGACUGAAACUCAAAGGAAUUGACGAGGGCCGCCACAACCGGUGGAGCAGGUGGUUUAUUUCAAAGCAACGCGAGAAACUUACC
This 960-nucleotide ribosomal RNA is filed under the name Priestia flexa. Its description in RNAcentral is "bacterial SSU rRNA". It matches the Rfam family "Bacterial small subunit ribosomal RNA", at positions 32 to 975 of the family's 1533-position model. The record is from RNAcentral. Lineage: Bacteria; Bacillati; Bacillota; Bacilli; Caryophanales; Bacillaceae.